Molecule: long non-coding RNA, 282 nt
Organism: Cyprinus carpio carpio
Lineage: Eukaryota; Metazoa; Chordata; Actinopteri; Cypriniformes; Cyprinidae
Source: Ensembl
UGAAAGUUGAUUCAACAUGAUUUUGCUUUUUAUACUGUUCUAAAAAUAGAUCCCUGUGUCUGAAAAAGGAAGGGUGUGUUUGUUACCUGCAUGUGAAUACCUGUGCGCCUGAGGCUCUACAGGAAGUGAUGUCACCCGCACAGGUGUAUAGGAGCAGCUCUACGCCUACAUGCAUUCAUCACAUGAGGGCUUCAUUCUUCUCGAUUUCUGGCAGCUUCCCUUUUGAAAGUGACUCUGCAGCGCUUCCUGAAUGUGGACGGGUCUUUAAUUUUCCAGACAUGU